Potamilus streckersoni is the source of this 78-nucleotide non-coding RNA. The record is from the annotation of a GenBank genome assembly. NCBI's taxonomy places the organism in Eukaryota, Metazoa, Mollusca, Bivalvia, Unionida, Unionidae.
GCUACGGUGGCCAAGUGGUUAGAGCGUCCGCCUCGGAUGCGGGAGGUCGUGGAUUCGUUCCCCGGCCGAGUCAUACCA